This is a long non-coding RNA of Phasianus colchicus (ring-necked pheasant), 451 nucleotides long. RefSeq lists it as uncharacterized. The record is from RefSeq and is a predicted model, not a curated record. Lineage: Eukaryota; Metazoa; Chordata; Aves; Galliformes; Phasianidae.
CACACUGCUCCAAGGGUCAGCUCUGACAGAAAGCCAAUAAUGAGCAGAGGAAGGAAGAGAGAGGGUCAGAGAACAAGAGCAGCUUGCUAUGUCUGCAUGUGCCCAGCCCUUUGCACUCCCGUUGCCAUGAAGGAAUGCAACAUCAUAAACACAACUUCCAGAUACUUCCUAUACUCCCGCACAUCUUAGCAUACUUGAACGAUCUCCUGGGGUGAAAACUUACACUGUUAUAUUGAAGUUGAAAACUGAUGACCUGAAUGGGAACAGGUAUGCUGUACCAUAAAGAAAGGACAGGCCACAUCCCCUGCCUCCAUGAAGAAUACAUCUGGACAACCAGAACUACAAUCUGAUCAACAAAAGAAAAAUCACAAAUUUUCCAGCCAACUUACACCCACUGGAUGUGAUUCUUUGAUCUUUUCUGAAUUAAGUCGAUCCCAUCCAACACACUGGU